Molecule: long non-coding RNA, 859 nt
Filed under: Homo sapiens (human)
Lineage: Eukaryota; Metazoa; Chordata; Mammalia; Primates; Hominidae
Description: DNAJC9 and MRPS16 antisense RNA 1, transcript variant 4 (DNAJC9-AS1)
Source: RNAcentral
UUUCUCGUGGUGUCUUGUGGGAGUGGCGGUGCGAUCCCUCUCAGACUUGUGAGUCCCUGCUGGAGUCAGAAGUUUUAGGCGAAUCCCAGGCGCGCCAAGGAAAGUGCUACAAAAGCCAUCCAUCUUGCAAGCGUUGGUGCCGAGGCGCAACGCUGAGAACGCAAAUACUAAAGGGCGCUGUUCUUUCCUCGUGGAGCUCACAGUCCGCUGGGGAGACCGUGAGAUGACAGCAGAGAAACUAGCGCGAUCAGUAGUACUCAGCGCAAGGACAGCGAGCAGAGAAGGCAAACCUAGUGCUUGCUAAGGAAGACUUCACAGAGGAGUCACACCUUAAAAAAAAAAGGAGGGGUUAUUCCUGCUUUUGCCGUGCUGUGAUCCAGGGCAGAGCUCCAGGCUUCAUACGGUAAAACUCUCUGGGAAGGAAAGGAACUCAGAGUCCCAUGCAGAAAAUUGUUCAGCUGGAGGGGUAUCAGAAAGAUGGAUUUCCAAAGCCAACUGUUUCCUGUAGUGUGUGGAUCUCUGCAAGCAGAGCCUCAUCUUUCAAUUUCAGCUACAUGAAAGAGGAAGAAAGGGAAAGAUAUAUGUCAUACGUGAUAUACUUUAUGUGGCUUUGAAGACCCCUCUUUUGUGGGGCUACGGCUAAAGAACAUAGUUCCCUGGGAUGGAAUUGGCUCUUCCUAUUUCCCUACUUCAUGAAAACUCCAGUAGAAGACCUUAGAACCUUGUCCUGGUUACAUGGAUAUGUUUACUUUGUGAAAAUUCAUCAAGCACUAUGCACGGUCAUGAUUUGUACAUUUUUUUGUAAGAUAACUUCAUUAAAAUUUACUUUUUUUAUUUUUAAAAAAAAAAAAAAAAAAAA